RNAcentral lists this long non-coding RNA (215 nucleotides) under Lathyrus oleraceus (garden pea). RNAcentral describes it as "Pisum sativum (pea) long non-coding RNA (PSAT_LNC005877)". The record is from RNAcentral. Lineage: Eukaryota; Viridiplantae; Streptophyta; Magnoliopsida; Fabales; Fabaceae.
UUUAUUUCAUUUCAUUUUCAAAAUAUCAAAAUCUCAUUCAUUUUAAUUCCAAAAAAUGCGAGACCAAUUGUAUUAUUUCUCUUUUGAUUUCUAGUUUAUGAAAAUGAUUUUUAAUAUUUUUUAUUUAUCAUUUGAUAGUUUUUAGGAAUUUUCUCUUUUCUGGUUAUUUUUAAUUCAUUUUAAAUAGUUUUUGAUAUUCAAAAAAUACAAAAAUA